CCUACGGGUGGCAGCAGUGAGGAAUAUUGGUCAAUGGACGAGAGUCUGAACCAGCCAAGUAGCGUGAAGGAUGGCUGCCCUAUGGGUUGUAAACUUCUUUUAUAUGGGAAUAAAAUGUUCCACGUGUGGGAUUUUGUAUGUACCAUAUGAAUAAGGAUCGGCUAACUCCGUGCCAGCAGCCGCGGUAAGACGGAGGAUCCGAGCGUUAUCCGGAUUUAUUGGGUUUAAAGGGAGCGUAGGUGGAUUGUUAAGUCAGUUGUGAAAGUUUGCGGCUCAACCGUAAAAUUGCAGUUGAAACUGGCAGUCUUGAGUACAGUAGAGGUGGGCGGAAUUCGUGGUGUAGCGGUGAAAUGCUUAGAUAUCACGAAGAACUCCGAUUGCGAAGGCAGUUCACUGGACUGCAACUGACACUGAGGCUCGAAAGUGUGGGUAUCAAACAGGAUUAGAUACCCUUGUAGUC
Molecule: ribosomal RNA, 460 nt
Filed under: uncultured bacterium
Lineage: Bacteria
Description: partial 16S ribosomal RNA
Rfam family: Bacterial small subunit ribosomal RNA
Source: RNAcentral